This 84-nucleotide transfer RNA is filed under the name Acidimicrobiaceae bacterium. RNAcentral describes it as "tRNA-Leu". It matches the Rfam family "tRNA". From Rfam's summary of the family: Transfer RNA (tRNA) molecules are approximately 80 nucleotides in length. Their secondary structure includes four short double-helical elements and three loops (D, anti-codon, and T loops). The record is from RNAcentral. Lineage: Bacteria; Bacillati; Actinomycetota; Acidimicrobiia; Acidimicrobiales; Acidimicrobiaceae.
GCCCGGGUGGCGGAAUUGGCAGACGCGGGGGACUCAAAAUCCUCUGGCCGCGAGGUCGUGCGGGUUCAAGUCCCGCCCCGGGCA